GGCCCAACCUCCCACCCGUGACUAUUGUACCUUGUUGCUUCGGCGGGCCCGCCAGCGUUGCUGGCCGCCGGGGGGCGACUCGCCCCCGGGCCCGUGCCCGCCGGAGACCCCAACAUGAACCCUGUUCUGAAAGCUUGCAGUCUGAGUGUGAUUCUUUGCAAUCAGUUCAAACUUUCAACAAUGGAUCUCUUGGUUCCGGCAUCGAUGAAGAACGCAGCGAAAUGCGAUAACUAAUGUGAAUUGCAGAAUUCAGUGAAUCAUCGAGUCUUUGAACGCACAUUGCGCCCCCUGGUAUUCCGGGGGGCAUGCCUGUCCGAGCGUCAUUGCUGCCCUCAAGCCCGGCUUGUGUGUUGGGCCCUCGUCCCCCGGCUCCCGGGGGACGGGCCCGAAAGGCAGCGGCGGCACCGCGUCCGGUCCUCGAGCGUAUGGGGCUUCGUCUUCCGCUCCGUAGGCCCGGCCGGCGCCCGCCGACGCAUUUAUUUGCAACUUGUUUUUUUCCAGGUUGACCUCGGAUCAGGUAGGGAUACCCGCUGAACUUAAGCAUAUCAAUAAGCGGAGGAAAAGAAACCAACCGGGAUUGCCUCAGUAACGGCGAGUGAAGCGGCAAGAGCUCAAAUUUGAAAGCUGGCUCCUUCGGGGUCCGCAUUGUAAUUUGCAGAGGAUGCUUCGGGUGCAGCCCCCGUCUAAGUGCCCUGGAACGGGCCGUCAUAGAGGGUGAGAAUCCCGUAUGGGGCGGGGUGUCUGCGUCCGUGUGAAGCUCCUUCGACGAGUCGAGUUGUUUGGGAAUGCAGCUCUAAAUGGGUGGUAAAUUUCAUCUAAAGCUAAAUACUGGCCGGAGACCGAUAGCGCACAAGUAGAGUGAUCGAAAGAUGAAAAGCACUUUGAAAAGAGAGUUAAACAGCACGUGAAAUUGUUGAAAGGGAAGCGCUUGCAACCAGACUCGCUCGCGGGGUUCAGCCGGGCUUCGGCCCGGUGUACUUCCCCGCGGGCGGGCCAGCGUCGGUUUGGGCGGCCGGUCAAAGGCCUCCGGAAUGUAGCGCCCUUCGGGGCGCCUUAUAGCCGGGGGUGCAAUGCGGCCAGCCUGGACCGAGGAACGCGCUUCGGCACGGACGCUGGCAUAAUGGUUGUAAACGACC
RNAcentral lists this ribosomal RNA (1136 nucleotides) under Aspergillus tubingensis. Its description in RNAcentral is "eukaryotic LSU rRNA". The stretch from base 504 to 1136 matches the Rfam family "Eukaryotic large subunit ribosomal RNA", at positions 1 to 649 of the family's 3401-position model. The record is from RNAcentral. Lineage: Eukaryota; Fungi; Ascomycota; Eurotiomycetes; Eurotiales; Aspergillaceae.